UGGCUCAGAUUGAACGCUGGCGGCAUGCCUUACACAUGCAAGUCGAACGGCAGCAUGAUCUAGCUUGCUAGAUUGAUGGCGAGUGGCGAACGGGUGAGUAAUACAUCGGAACGUGCCCUGUAGUGGGGGAUAACUAGUCGAAAGAUUAGCUAAUACCGCAUACGACCUGAGGGUGAAAGUGGGGGACCGCAAGGCCUCAUGCUAUAGGAGCGGCCGAUGUCUGAUUAGCUAGUUGGUGAGGUAAAGGCUCACCAAGGCGACGAUCAGUAGCUGGUCUGAGAGGACGAUCAGCCACACUGGGACUGAGACACGGCCCAGACUCCUACGGGAGGCAGCAGUGGGGAAUUUUGGACAAUGGGGGCAACCCUGAUCCAGCAAUGCCGCGUGUGUGAAGAAGGCCUUCGGGUUGUAAAGCACUUUUGUCCGGAAAGAAAUCGCACUUACUAAUAUUAGGUGUGGAUGACGGUACCGGAAGAAUAAGGACCGGCUAUUGACGUGCCAGCAGCCGCGGUAAUACGUAGGGUCCAAGCGUUAAUCGGAAUUACUGGGCGUAAAGCGUGCGCAGGCGGUUGUGCAAGACCGAUGUGAAAUCCCCGGGCUUAACCUGGGAAUUGCAUUGGUGACUGCACGGCUAGAGUGUGUCAGAGGGGGGUAGAAUUCCACGUGUACCAGUGAAUGCGUAUAGAUGUGGAGGAAUACCGAUGGCGAAGNNNNCCCCUGGGAUAACACUGACGCUCAUGCACGAAAGCGUGGGGAGCAAACAGGAUUAGAUAACCCUGGUAGUCCACGCCCUAAACGAUGUCAACUAGUUGUUGGGGAUUCAUUUCCUUAGUAACGUAGCUAACGCGUGAAGUUGACCGCCUGGGGAGUACGGUCGCAAGAUUAAAACUCAAAGGAAUUGACGGGGACCCGCACAAGCGGUGGAUGAUGUGGAUUAAUUCGAUGCAACGCGAAAAACCUUACCUACCCUUGACAUGCCACUAACGAAGCAGAGAUGCAUUAGGUGCUCGAAAGAGAAAGUGGACACAGGUGCUGCAUGGCUGUCGUCAGCUCGUGUCGUGAGAUGUUGGGUUAAGUCCCGCAACGAGCGCAACCCUUGUCUCUAGUUGCUACGAAAGGGCACUCUAGAGAGACUGCCGGUGACAAACCGGAGGAAGGUGGGGAUGACGUCAAGUCCUCAUGGCCCUUAUGGGUAGGGCUUCACACGUCAUACAAUGGUGCAUACAGAGGGUUGCCAAGCCGCGAGGUGGAGCUAAUCCCAGAAAAUGCAUCGUAGUCCGGAUCGUAGUCUGCAACUCGACUACGUGAAGCUGGAAUCGCUAGUAAUCGCGGAUCAGCAUGCCGCGGUGAAUACGUUCCCGGGUCUUGUACACACCGCCCGUCACACCAUGGGAGUGGGUUUUGCCAGAAGUAGUUAGCCUAACCGCAAGGGGGGCGAUUACCACG
Molecule: ribosomal RNA, 1446 nt
Filed under: uncultured Ralstonia sp.
Lineage: Bacteria; Pseudomonadati; Pseudomonadota; Betaproteobacteria; Burkholderiales; Burkholderiaceae
Description: bacterial SSU rRNA
Rfam family: Bacterial small subunit ribosomal RNA
Source: RNAcentral